RNAcentral lists this long non-coding RNA (279 nucleotides) under Daucus carota (carrot). RNAcentral describes it as "long non-coding RNA (DCAR_LNC007490)". The record is from RNAcentral. Lineage: Eukaryota; Viridiplantae; Streptophyta; Magnoliopsida; Apiales; Apiaceae.
AAUAAUAUAAUAAUUUGAUAAUAUGAAAGUCACAAUUAAAGUAAAUAAUGUUUAACUAAAAUGGUUUCAGUUAAUCAAUAUUUAAAUAAUUAUGCUGCAAAUAUUUUAAUUAAAAAUCUGAUUAAUGGAUAACUUAAAAAAAAUUUGAAUUGCUUGAAAUCCAUUAAUCAAAUAUAAUUAAAACAUGAAUCAAAUAAAUACUAAAACCAAACUGUUAGGUCCUGAAACGAUUGUAGAAGGGGGGUUGAAUACAAUCGUCACUAAAAAAUCGCGGCGGAA